AUUUUCAUUGGAUAUACAAUUCUGAUUUGACUAUUUUCUUUUUUUUUUCCCCUUAUAGCACUUUAAAGAAGUUUAAUGUCUUCUGACCAUCAUGGUUUCGGAUGAGGAACAUCAGUCAUUUGAAUUGUUCUUAUUCAAGGAAGUUACCUCUGAG
RNAcentral lists this long non-coding RNA (154 nucleotides) under Mustela putorius furo (domestic ferret). RNAcentral describes it as "lncRNA (ENSMPUG00000024293.1)". Lineage: Eukaryota; Metazoa; Chordata; Mammalia; Carnivora; Mustelidae. The record is from RNAcentral.